CUACGGGACGCUGCAGUGGGGAAUAUUGCGCAAUGGGGGAAACCCUGACGCAGUGACGCCGUGUGAGUGAUGAAGGUUUUCGGAUCGUAAAGCUCUGUCAGACGGGAAGAAUAAGAACAGUAAAAAUAUUGCUGUUUGAUGACGGUACCGUCAGAGGAAGCACCGGCUAACUCCGUGCCAGCAGCCGCGGUAAUACGGAGGGUGCAAACGUUGUGCGGAAUUACUGGGCGUAAAGCGCAUGUAGGCGGAUAUGUAGGUCAGAUGUGAAAUCCCUUGGCUCAACCAAGGAAGUGCAUCUGAAACUCCAUAGCAUGAGUACGAGAGAGGGAAGUGGAAUUCCCAGUGUAGAGGUGAAAUGCAUAGAUAUUGGGAAGAACACCGGUGGCGAAGGCGGCUUUCUGGCUUGUAACUGACGCUGAGAUGCGAAAGCGUGGGGAGCAAACAGGAUUAGAUACCCGGGUAGUC
This 465-nucleotide ribosomal RNA is filed under the name uncultured bacterium. RNAcentral's name for it is "partial 16S ribosomal RNA". It matches the Rfam family "Bacterial small subunit ribosomal RNA", at positions 339 to 795 of the family's 1533-position model. The record is from RNAcentral.